GAUGAACGCUAGCUACAGGCUUAACACAUGCAAGUCGAGGGGAAACGAUAGAGAAAGCUUGCUUUUUCUAGGCGUCGACCGGCGCACGGGUGAGUAACGCGUAUCCAACCUGCCCAUCACUUGGGGAUAACCUUGCGAAAGUAAGACUAAUACCCAAUGAUAUCUCUAGAAGACAUCUGAAAGAGAUUAAAGAUUUAUCGGUGAUGGAUGGGGAUGCGUCUGAUUAGCUUGUUGGCGGGGUAACGGCCCACCAAGGCGACGAUCAGUAGGGGUUCUGAGAGGAAGGUCCCCCACAUUGGAACUGAGACACGGUCCAAACUCCUACGGGAGGCAGCAGUGAGGAUAUUGGUCAAUGGACGAGAGUCUGAACCAGCCAAGUAGCG
This 383-nucleotide ribosomal RNA is filed under the name uncultured bacterium. RNAcentral describes it as "bacterial SSU rRNA". It matches the Rfam family "Bacterial small subunit ribosomal RNA", at positions 28 to 401 of the family's 1533-position model. The record is from RNAcentral.